ACACUCCUGCGGGAGGCAGCAGUGGGGAAUAUUGGACAAUGGGGGCAACCCUGAUCCAGCCAUGCCGCGUGAGUGAUGAAGGCCCUAGGGUUGUAAAGCUCUUUUGUGCGGGAAGAUAAUGACGGUACCGCAAGAAUAAGCCCCGGCUAACUUCGUGCCAGCAGCCGCGGUAAUACGAAGGGGGCUAGCGUUGCUCGGAAUCACUGGGCGUAAAGGGUGCGUAGGCGGGUCUUUAAGUCAGGGGUGAAAUCCUGGAGCUCAACUCCAGAACUGCCUUUGAUACUGAGGAUCUUGAGUCCGGAAGAGGUGAGUGGAACUGCGAGUGUAGAGGUGAAAUUCGUAGAUAUUCGCAAGAACACCAGUGGCGAAGGCGGCUCACUGGUCCGGUACUGACGCUGAGGCACGAAAGCGUGGGGAGCAAACAGGAUUAGAAACCCCAGUAGUCCCAU
RNAcentral lists this ribosomal RNA (449 nucleotides) under uncultured organism. RNAcentral's name for it is "partial 16S ribosomal RNA". It matches the Rfam family "Bacterial small subunit ribosomal RNA", at positions 333 to 798 of the family's 1533-position model. The record is from RNAcentral.